This 465-nucleotide ribosomal RNA is filed under the name Vreelandella stevensii. RNAcentral describes it as "partial 16S ribosomal RNA". It matches the Rfam family "Bacterial small subunit ribosomal RNA", at positions 338 to 795 of the family's 1533-position model. Lineage: Bacteria; Pseudomonadati; Pseudomonadota; Gammaproteobacteria; Oceanospirillales; Halomonadaceae. The record is from RNAcentral.
CCUACGGGCGGCUGCAGUGGGGAAUAUUGGACAAUGGGGGCAACCCUGAUCCAGCCAUGCCGCGUGUGUGAAGAAGGCCCUCGGGUUGUAAAGCACUUUCAGUGAGGAAGAACGCCUGGUGGUUAAUACCCAUCAGGAAAGACAUCACUCACAGAAGAAGCACCGGCUAACUCCGUGCCAGCAGCCGCGGUAAUACGGAGGGUGCGAGCGUUAAUCGGAAUUACUGGGCGUAAAGCGCGCGUAGGUGGCUUGAUAAGCCGGUUGUGAAAGCCCCGGGCUCAACCUGGGAACGGCAUCCGGAACUGUCAAGCUAGAGUGCAGGAGAGGAAGGUAGAAUUCCCGGUGUAGCGGUGAAAUGCGUAGAGAUCGGGAGGAAUACCAGUGGCGAAGGCGGCCUUCUGGACUGACACUGACACUGAGGUGCGAAAGCGUGGGUAGCAAACAGGAUUAGAUACCCUAGUAGUA